CAAACGACUCUCGGCAACGGAUAUCUCGGCUCUUGCAUCGAUGAAGAACGUAGCGAAAUGCGAUACUUGGUGUGAAUUGCAGAAUCCCGUGAACCAUCGAGUCUUUGAACGCAAGUUGCGCCCGAUGCCAUUAGGCUGAAGGCACGUCUGCCUGGGCGUCACGCAU
Molecule: ribosomal RNA, 166 nt
Filed under: Calluna vulgaris (heather flower)
Lineage: Eukaryota; Viridiplantae; Streptophyta; Magnoliopsida; Ericales; Ericaceae
Description: 5.8S ribosomal RNA
Rfam family: 5.8S ribosomal RNA
About the family: 5.8S ribosomal RNA (5.8S rRNA) is a component of the large subunit of the eukaryotic ribosome.
Source: RNAcentral